CAUGCAAUAUUCAUCACAUUAGUCCUGAAGCAGGGUGCUGGCUGCACAGACCUCUCUGAACGGUCCUGAUGCAUGAGUUGAACCCGACACACAGUAAACUCGGCAUGAAACACGCAGAACAUCAGUCCAGCCUCCAUCUGUAUGGCAACAGUUUGGGAAAGGAACAUAUCAUUGACACGGAGAUGUCUACAUACCAUGCGUGAUGGUCCUCCGGAGCUCAAGCAAGCUCCGAAAGG
This is a long non-coding RNA of Silurus meridionalis, 236 nucleotides long. RefSeq lists it as uncharacterized. Lineage: Eukaryota; Metazoa; Chordata; Actinopteri; Siluriformes; Siluridae. The record is from RefSeq and is a predicted model, not a curated record. The transcript is spliced from 3 exons.